Molecule: ribosomal RNA, 430 nt
Filed under: uncultured bacterium
Lineage: Bacteria
Description: bacterial SSU rRNA
Rfam family: Bacterial small subunit ribosomal RNA
Source: RNAcentral
GGGCCCGCACAAGCGGUGGAGCAUGUGGUUUAAUUCGAUGAUACGCGAGGAACCUUACCAGGGCUUAAAUGUAGUCUGACAGAUUUGGAAACAGAUUUUUCUUCGGACAGAUUACAAGGUGCUGCAUGGUUGUCGUCAGCUCGUGCCGUGAGGUGUCAGGUUAAGUCCUAUAACGAGCGCAACCCCUGUGGUUAGUUGCCAGCGAGUCAAGUCGGGAACUCUAGCCAGACUGCCGGUGCAAACCGUGAGGAAGGUGGGGAUGACGUCAAAUCAUCACGGCCCUUACGUCCUGGGCCACACACGUGCUACAAUGGUAGGUACAGAGAGCAGCCACGUCGCAAGGCGGAGCGAAUCUAUAAAACCUAUCACAGUUCGGAUCGGGGUCUGCAACUCGACCCCGUGAAGCUGGAAUCGCUAGUAAUCGCAUAUC